AGAAUGUUUAAAGAAAUUUAGGAGAACUGGGUUUGACCGGAAUUAAAGGGAUAUUGCUUCACUGUUUAGUAUUACAAAUUAAAUCGAAACAUUAUUGAAUUCCAGUGCAUUUUACAGAAAAGUCUGAAAUAUUGGUAUUAUUUGUUUUGUCUAGGAGUAUCGGGUGCCUUACAGAUUUUGUGCCGGGACCACAUGGAGGACGUCCAAUCAGAGCUAAGAAAACUAAAGGUAUUGCAGCAAAGUAUCAAAAUCAGGCAAAGAAUCAUAAAGCGAUUCUUCAGAAAUAUAUAUUUUUUUCCAGUACUGAAGUCAGAGAUGCAAAAUCUUCAGGAGACAGAGAUGUAGAGCAGAGAUCUUCACAGUAGGGUGGAGUAAUGCAAAAGCAGAUUAAUAAGGAGAAACUUCAGGUGCUGUUGUCUUUCUAAAAACAACCAAAAGUCAAAUUAAACGCAUUUCAUUUAGUCUAUGAGGCACAGACCUCUUGAGGGAUGGUCUCAGUCUGAAAUGUCAUUUCAGAGAAUUGACUCCAAGCUGAUCGACUGGAUUAAUUUCAUGAACUGAACUCUGAAAUGAAAUUCUGUUUCACUGAAGUCUCUUCUGACCUUGACCUACCAAUCAUUCAGGCAGCUGAGAGACAGAGAGAGAAGAAAAACACACUAAUGCGACAGCUUGAAGAGGUCAUGGCUGAUCUACAGUCAGUGAGACAAACUGAGAAAUGACCUUCCAUAGGACACAUGACCACAAUAUGUAAGUCAACUCCAUGACGGUCACUUUAUCACCUUCCAAGAGUGCCUUGUGUAGAGAGAUUGAGACACGCUAGGCUUUGUGGCAAACCAAGAUGGAAGAAGCCAUGAUAUGAGAAAGAAACAUUGCAUGAAUUACAUCUCAAAGAGGAGGAGAGGAGCGAGAAAAUGAAGCGGUGUGAGGAAAGAGAGGUGAAGGCCUUACAGAGAGGAGCUGAUAUGCUUGAUAUGCUGUAGUUUCAUGUUACCCAUUUAGGGCAGCUUCUCAAAAGCCUUAGGUUCCUAAUUAAAACUAGAUUUUAUGUGUCCUACAUAUGUGAUCUGUGUUCAUUAUCAUGUUUACCUUUGUUGUACUUGUACUGCGCUCUGUAGGCUGGAGGGCUUUGAAAGCCACACCACAUCUUACACAUCAGAAAAACAGCAGGAACCGGAUCAAAAAAUAACAUCCCUCUGGUAUAAUAAAGCUCUCAUAAAAAUCAUCACUGAGUAACCCAUCAUCCAAAACCUAUGGUGUAUAUUAUUAUGGUAAAUAUGCAACCCAUUUAGCCAGUAGGCCUGCUUUAGAAACCAAUUCCAACAGCUCUUCAUAAGAUUGUAACUUAGCAAUUUAUAUAUUACAUAAGUUACUGUGUAAAACGAUUUCCUUACUCUGUCGUCACAUUCACUGUGAGAAGGAUACUAUCCAUACACUGUGCCCUUGUUAAUGAUUAAUGCAUGAGGUUCAUUAUUUAUGCAUGCAUUAUUUAUGAAACUCUUGCUUAGUAACUAAUUACACAGUCUCUAUCUUUAAAUAAUUUCAUAGAUUAAAUUGUAGCUGCACAUAUGUCUCUUUUUCUACUUCCAUUCAUUUUUACUACACAAGUGCUAAAAUCUCCUACAUUUUUUACAUUAUAAUGAUAACCACAGACAGUGUAUACAUAUUGUCUAAAAUGUACACAUGCUUUAAAAUGAUUAUUUAUUUAGUGAUUUGUUUUCAUCAAAAAAAUAAUCAGUAAUAUUCAUCCUAUUAAUGGAUGUUUUAUUUUCACUAAACAAUCUGUACUGUACUCAUAUUGAAUCUACUGCAUUCAGAAUGUCUCAUUGUAUGUCAGGAAUCUUUCAUGCAGUUUCUAAUUGGUCCUGCAGGGUAUCUCUAAUCUCAUCCCAACAGGAAGUGUUCAGUCAGAGGGAGAUCAUCGUGACCUGGCCCGACUCAUGCUCGGAAAUGUUUUUGUUAGACAAACUGAAGAGGACCUGAAAAGUAUAGCAAACCGAGAGAUGGAGAACACAAGUCUUUUUCCACUUUAAACCUCAAGAAACACUAGUAAACUGGACAAACAUUUACUUUAACAAAACUGAACUGAUUUAUCACUUUUGCAUGUUGAGGAUAAAAAAGCUUUCUUUUGUUUUUCUUUCUUCUCCUAAAUAUAAAAAUUAUUGAAUGUCAAUAAGAUAUUGAAAAAAAUGAGUUCCACUGAAAAAAUUAUACUCAUUAAAGAAUCCUGAAAAUUAUAUUUAGAAGAAGAAACAUUUCUUGAGCAACAAAAUCUGCAUAUUUGAAUGCUUUCUGAAGGAUCAUGUGACUGAAGACUGGAGAAAUGGCUGAGCUGCCAUCACAUGAAUAAAUGACGUUUUAAAAUAUAUUAAAAUAGAAAACGGUUAUUCUAAAUUGUAAUACUUAUUUCACAGUAUUACUGUUUUAAAAGCAUGCAGCCUUGGUUAGAGGCUUCAUUCAAAAGCAUUCAAAAGUCUUACCGACCCCAAACUUCUGAACAGUAGUGUACAUUCACAAGAAAAAAUGGGCAACAAAGAGACCAAGGGGUCACACAAACACUCACACUGGCAGAUCACAAACAGACAUGCUGCUAACUGUUAUAUGGAUGCUGUUUUUUUCAGGAUGUGGCACUCAUGACUGCUCCAAAUGAUGUCAUCAAUCAGGGGUCAUCGCCACGAGCAGGAAGGUUUGACAUGAGAGAGCGAAUCAGAGCUCUAGAACAGAAGUGGCCUAGCAAGAGCAUCUGUCCCAGCAGGGGGAGCCAGAGAAACAGGGUCAGAUGAAGACUCUGAGACUUCAGAGAUCUGCAGCUCAGAGAGGGUCCAUCAGUUCUGUGGUAUCUGCUUUACACAUUCUGAAUUACCUAUCGAAUAAGAAUAUUUUAUUGCAAAAAUAGAAUAAACAUAUCAGUCAACACUGGAUGACAGUUAGACACUAAUUAUACAGUUUUAAAGUUUUAAUGAUAAAAUUUGGGCAUACUUGAAGAGAAUAAAAAUGUAUGGAUGUAAUAUUUUUCUAAUAAAAUAGCUACAUUUCUUAUAUACUCUAAAUUAUGAUCACAACUUCACUAGUAACACUGAGCUCUCAGAAUCAGUUUUCAAAGUGACGAAUCUGAUCAAUUCAGAUCAAAAUUGUAUGACACAGGGACAUAAAAAAAAGGUGGUCAACUGACUCAAAAUUCUCAUUACAAAAACCAUUUUAAACUAAAAGUCAGAUGUUCUUGAUUCCACUGAAGCUCAAGAUGCUCUUUGGAUCCCUCUCAAACUAAAUAUAUAAAUGGUCCCAGACUGUUGUGUACUGUGUAGUGUGCUAAAUGUGUUUAUUUGAUUCCUGCUGAGUGGUUUUGUGCUCCCUGAAGCUCUGACCGAGGCAGCACGAGAACGUACAGCCAGACUGGACACGUCUGAUGCUCUGGAGCUCAGUGAGAGAACGUACCUGGAGCUAGUGUGCGUGCUGCAUGAGGCCCUGGAGCUCAGUGACGUUGAGCUGUCAGGAUGUGCUAGUUUAAAGCACCUACCUCCUGAUGAGAGACAGCACAUAGUCUCUAUGAGACAAACAGACCUGGAGUUUGUGAGAACCCGCCUUGAUCUAGAGAACAGACACAAAGCCAACAGCAAGAGCUACUGCUGGAGAAAAACCAGAGAGAGAUACACACACUCAGAGAGAGCCAGGUGCUGGAGUACCAGAUGCAGACCGAGCUUGAGAGUGUGAAGGCAGAACUAGAGACUCAGAGACAAGAGAUGGAACAGCUUCGGCUGGAUCUACAGGACAGCAUCAACUAGCUGCAGAGAAACCAGCAGGAACGCAGUAUUACCAACAGAAAUAAUAGGGUAUCACACAUACAAGCUCACUUGGAAAGUGAGAAAGUCUGACUCACACUAACUUUGUGAUAGAGAGAUUUUUUUGUUUUGUUUCCUGAACAAACUUAUUCCAACCUGAAAACACAAACAAUUCUGACUUGUCAGUUUGUAAAAACAAAUAAUCUAGCUAAGAGAACAGACAGAAAGAGUUUAAGAGUGGGCCAUUACAGCUAUAUACCAAAUGAAAGCUAUAAAAAGGCACCAGCAGUGAAGAAACGGACCUCACAGAUGAGACUGAAAAGGAGAGAGAGUGAGCUAGAUAAUCAGAAGAAAGAAAUGGGGCAGAAAACGCAGAUCUGUUCAAUGGUCUCUGAUUUGUCCAAUCCUUUGCAAGCUCCUGAGAGCUCCCAACUACCCCUGCUCGCUGAGGCUCAAUGACAUGAACACAACUUAAGAGCAUGCAGCAUUAUACAGCUGUGCUUUUUAAUAUUAAACAAUGUUAUAAUA
Carassius gibelio (silver crucian carp) is the source of this 4304-nucleotide long non-coding RNA. RefSeq lists it as uncharacterized. The transcript has 6 exons. The record is from RefSeq and is a predicted model, not a curated record. NCBI's taxonomy places the organism in Eukaryota, Metazoa, Chordata, Actinopteri, Cypriniformes, Cyprinidae.